UACGGAGGGGGCUAGCGUUGUUCGGAAUUACUGGGCGUAAAGCGCACGUAGGCGGCUUUGCAAGUUAGAGGUGAAAGCCCGGGGCUCAACUCCGGAAUUGCCUUUAAAACUGCAUCGCUAGAAUUGUGGAGAGGUAAGUGGAAUUCCGAGUGUAGAGGUGAAAUUCGUAGAUAUUCGGAAGAACACCAGUGGCGAAGGCGGCUUUCUGGUCUGUAACUGACGCUGAGGCGCGAAAGCGUGGGGAGCAAACAGG
RNAcentral lists this ribosomal RNA (253 nucleotides) under uncultured bacterium. RNAcentral's name for it is "partial 16S ribosomal RNA". It matches the Rfam family "Bacterial small subunit ribosomal RNA", at positions 524 to 776 of the family's 1533-position model. The record is from RNAcentral.